Molecule: non-coding RNA, 27 nt
Filed under: Cricetulus griseus (Chinese hamster)
Lineage: Eukaryota; Metazoa; Chordata; Mammalia; Rodentia; Cricetidae
Source: RNAcentral
GCUGUGGAAGAUAUGAGAAAUCGAUGG